CCUACGGGGCUGCAGUGGGGGAUAUUGCACAAUGGGGGAAACCCUGAUGCAGCGACGCCGCGUGUGGGAAGACGGUCCUCUGGAUUGUAAACCACUGUCCCCAGGGACGAAGAUGACGGUACCUGGGGAGGAAGCACCGGCUAACUACGUGCCAGCAGCCGGGGUAAUACGUAGGGAGCAGGCGUUGUCCGGAAUUACUGGGUGUAAAGGGAGCUGAGGCGGGAUGGCAAGUUGGGUGUUAAAUCUACCGGCUCAACUGGUAGGCGCACUCAAAACUGCUAUUCUUGAGUGAAGUAGAGGCAGGCGGAAUUCCUAGUGUAGCGGUGAAAUGCGUAGAUAUUAGGAGGAACACCAGUGGCGAAGGCGGCCUGCUGGGCUUUUACUGACGCUGAGGCUCGAAAGUGUGGGGAGCAAACAGGAUUAGAUACCCGUGUAGUC
RNAcentral lists this ribosomal RNA (438 nucleotides) under uncultured bacterium. RNAcentral's name for it is "partial 16S ribosomal RNA". It matches the Rfam family "Bacterial small subunit ribosomal RNA", at positions 338 to 795 of the family's 1533-position model. The record is from RNAcentral.